This 709-nucleotide ribosomal RNA is filed under the name uncultured bacterium. Its description in RNAcentral is "bacterial SSU rRNA". It matches the Rfam family "Bacterial small subunit ribosomal RNA", at positions 60 to 783 of the family's 1533-position model. The record is from RNAcentral.
AGUCGACGAUGACCCCCAGCUUGCUGGGGUGAUUAGUGGCGAACGGGUGAGUAACACGUGAGUAACCUGCCCUCCACUCUGGGAUAAGCACUGGAAACGGUGUCUAAUACCGGAUACGAGCUUCCGCCGCAUGGUGAGGAGCUGGGAAGAAUUUUGGUGGGGGAUGGACUCGCGGCCUAUCAGGUAGUUGGUGAGGUAAUGGCUCACCAAGCCGACGACGGGUAGCCGGCCUGAGAGGGUGACCGGCCACACUGGGACUGAGACACGGCCCAGACUCCUACGGGAGGCAGCAGUGGGGAAUAUUGCACAAUGGGCGAAAGCCUGAUGCAGCAACGCCGCGUGAGGGACGACGGCCUUCGGGUUGUAAACCUCUUUUAGUAGGGAAGAAGCGAAAGUGACGGUACCUGCAGAAAAAGCACCGGCUAACUACGUGCCAGCAGCCGCGGUAAUACGUAGGGUGCAAGCGUUGUCCGGAAUUAUUGGGCGUAAAGAGCUCGUAGGCGGUUUGUCGCGUCUGCUGUGAAAUCCGGAGGCUCAACCUCCGGCCUGCAGUGGGUACGGGCAGACUAGAGUGCGGUAGGGGAGGUUGGAAUUCCUGGUGUAGCGGUGGAAUGCGCAGAUAUCAGGAGGAACACCAAUGGCGAAGGCAGAUCUCUGGGCCGUAACUGACGCUGAGGAGCGAAAGCAUGGGGAGCGAACAGGAUUAGAU